This 97-nucleotide microRNA precursor is filed under the name Nicotiana sylvestris (wood tobacco). RNAcentral describes it as "MIR6152 microRNA precursor family". It matches the Rfam family "MIR6152 microRNA precursor family". RNAcentral also lists the same sequence under 2 other names. Lineage: Eukaryota; Viridiplantae; Streptophyta; Magnoliopsida; Solanales; Solanaceae. The record is from Rfam by way of RNAcentral.
UGGACAGAUUAUUGUAUUCAACUGUAUUCACGACGUGAAAUAGGGGAUUACACUGUUUUUAAAACGGAAAGUGAAUCAAUUAACAUAAUAGACUCCU